UAAUUCAAAAGCAUCAAUUCUUUGGCAAUCAGCCUUCUUUAUGGUGAGAGCUUGACCAUAAAGAAGGCUGAUCGCCAAAGAAUUGAUGCUUUUGAAUUA
Non-coding RNA from Podarcis lilfordi (Lilford's wall lizard), 99 nucleotides. Lineage: Eukaryota; Metazoa; Chordata; Lepidosauria; Squamata; Lacertidae. The record is from the annotation of a GenBank genome assembly.